Molecule: ribosomal RNA, 375 nt
Filed under: Triticum aestivum (bread wheat)
Lineage: Eukaryota; Viridiplantae; Streptophyta; Magnoliopsida; Poales; Poaceae
Description: partial small subunit ribosomal RNA
Source: RNAcentral
AUGGUUCCAUAUGAUGGUUUCACAAAGGCAGAGGAAGUUUCCAUGGUGUAUAUGCCAAUUUGGCUACAGAUUCACAAGAUCCCGGAAGGUUUCUGCAGGAAGAACAUUGUGGAAAAUUUGCUGAAAAACUCUGGCGAGAUCCUGGAGAUGAGACUGAACGGGAAUACCCGUGGUGACUACAUUAGGGUUAGGGUUCGGCAUGACGUGCGCCGACCUCUCACCAAGUUUGUCAGUAUUGUCAGGGGGAAAGAACGCCAAGUCUACUUGGUGCGUUACGAGAAACUCGCACACUUCUGCAGUGUGUGUGGGCUCAUUGGUCAUGAUUGCAAAGAGUGCGGAUCAGGGGUGCAUGAGGAGAAGGACAAGAAGUAUGGA